GGCAUUUCUCAUGAGCUCAUCAGCGCAAGAGCUAACAUUUUCCCUGUUUGUUUUCUUUUCAGACACGAAUGCAUUUGCUUCAGCAAAAGAGACAUGUAUCUUAGAAACCUAUCAAAAAUAUUUGAAUACAGCUACCUCGGCAAUCUCUGCUCUGCGGGCUCCUCCCCCCACCUUUCUUUUAACCUUUGCCUGAGAAGAAUUUAAAUGGCAUAUUUAGUGGCUGCAUAUUGUGCUUCCUGUACCCACUGCUGCAUAAAAGGGAUUGAUUUAAAUCGCUUACAGUAACCAUGUGGGGGAGGAGGGUCUAGUUUUCUGCACCAAAUGCUCCAGGAUGCAUAAUAAGCAACCACAAAUACAGACAACAAAUGAGUGUGCUUGCAUUUGUCUCUUCUCUGGUAAAGAAUUAUUCUUUAGUACGGAUGGACUGCACACUUUUAGCAUCAACAAGAGAGCAGCUCAGAUGUACGAGCACCAAUAAAGGAUACUUAAGCCUCCGUCCCCCAGGUAAUGAGUCUCAGAAAUGUUGGCUAAAAAAGUCAGAGAAUGUUCCUAUUUAUAAUUUUUUUGAAUCAUGAAAUUUAUAACACCUCCCAAAGCAGGAACGGACCAAGUUUAAAGAUUACAGCUGAGUGCCAGUAAAGCGUUAAAGGCAACCAUUGUUAAUAACAAUCGGCUGAAAAGCAAGACACAGCUCAUGCUUUGGAGCCGUACUAAGAGAUUCGGCAUCUCUAAAAUCGCUAGAGCCUUUGACAAGCCAGGCAUAAAUCAGGAGGCAUUUAAAUUCCUGAUUUUCUGGCAUUUUUAAAGCUAUAAAUCCUACACAUUCCUAAAACCACAUGGUCCCAUAACUAGAGCUGAGGGCUAGAGUAGGUCCCUGGAACAGUUCAAAGGGUCAAACUGGAAUUAGGAGCUCCUGCUUCUCUCUAGGCCUUAAGGCAAUUUUUUCUGAAGGACAUUUAAAGAUUUUUUUUUGAAGUCUUCUGAAAUGAGGCCAAGAGGGUGUUACAUUUAUCCCAACAAUCUACCAGGCCUUUCUCGUCUUUGGAUGUAACCAUGUUGGGAUUUUUCUAGAUCUUAUUAAUCCAUGUCUAUAUACUCAAGAUGGUUUGGAUAGUCAGAGGUCAGAAAACAAUUAAAGGAGGGAGACUAAAUGGUCUAUAAAUGAAUGUGAUCUAUUCAGGGUUUCUUAAAAUGAGCUUAAGGACCAUUUGCCUUCCUGGAGAGAGAUGUGGAUGGAAGAGGUGUCCUGCUCCAAUCCAUGACUUUAGCAUGAGGAAAGCAUUCAGGAUGAAUGAAAGAAAGAACAGAGCAGAAUCAGGAUGCCUGGUUAAGAGACAAUAAGUCAAAAUAAGAUGAAAUGAGAACCCAAACUACAGAGUGGCAGCGAAAAUGCAGAGUGAAUGUGGAAAACUUGAUGAAGGUAAAAUCUGAAGACCUUGGCACCUAAUUGGAUUCGCAUGAGGAGAACCAGAGAAGGGAGAGUCACUCAUGUCCGGGAGGAAAGAGCACAGCAUUUGUAACCUAGAAACCUGGACUGAAGGUCUUUAUUCUGCCAUUUACUAGUUUUGUAAACUCUGGGAAGCCAUUCACCUCUGAGUCUCAUUUUUAUCGGUUGCAAAACAAGGCUGGAAAUACCUACAAAAUAAAUGAGAAAAUGUAUUAAAUGUC
Molecule: long non-coding RNA, 1668 nt
Filed under: Pan troglodytes (chimpanzee)
Lineage: Eukaryota; Metazoa; Chordata; Mammalia; Primates; Hominidae
Description: lincRNA
Source: RNAcentral